AUUGAACGCUGGCGGCAGGCCUAACACAUGCAAGUCGAGCGGAUGAACUGAUCUUUCUCCUGGAUUCCGCGGCGCACGGGUGUGUAAUGCCUAGGAAUCUUCCUCGUUGUAGUUCGUGACGUCCGGGAACGGGCGCUAAUACCGCAUACGUCCUGAGGGAGAUAGUUGCGGAUCUUCGGACCUCACGCUAUCAGAUGUGCCUAGGUCGGAUUAGCUAGUUGGUGGGGUAAAGGCCUAUCAAGGCGACGAUCCGUAACUGGUCUGAGAGGAUGAUCAGUCACACUGGAAGUGAGACACGGUCAAGAGGACUACGGGAGGCAGCAGUGGGGAAUAGUGGACAAUGGGCGAAAGCAUGAUACAGCCAGGCCGCGUGUGUGAAGAAGGUGUUCGGAUUGUAAAGAACUUUAAGUUGGGAGGAAGGGCAGUAAGUUAAUACCUUGCUGUUUUGACGUUACCAACAGAAGAAGCACCGGCUAACUACGCG
This 484-nucleotide ribosomal RNA is filed under the name uncultured bacterium. Its description in RNAcentral is "partial 16S ribosomal RNA". It matches the Rfam family "Bacterial small subunit ribosomal RNA", at positions 30 to 507 of the family's 1533-position model. The record is from RNAcentral.